GGGGAUUUAGCUUAAUUAAAGUGAUUGAUUUGCGUUCAGUUGAUGUAAGAUAUAGUCUUGCAAUCCUUA
Molecule: transfer RNA, 69 nt
Filed under: Tragelaphus scriptus (bushbuck)
Lineage: Eukaryota; Metazoa; Chordata; Mammalia; Artiodactyla; Bovidae
Description: tRNA-Ala
Rfam family: tRNA
About the family: Transfer RNA (tRNA) molecules are approximately 80 nucleotides in length. Their secondary structure includes four short double-helical elements and three loops (D, anti-codon, and T loops).
Source: RNAcentral